AUGUCAGGUUAGCUUUGGUGGGGUAAAGGCUCACCAAGGCGACGAUCUGUAGCGGGUCUUAGAGGAUGAUCCGCCACACUGGAACUGAGACACGGUCCAGACUCCUACGGGAGGCAGCAGUGGGGAAUUUUGGACAAUGGGCGCAAGCCUGAUCCAGCCAUGCCGCGUGAGCGAAGAAGGCCUUCGGGUUGUAAAGCUCUUUCGGCCGGGAAAAAAUCGCUUGGGUUAAUACCCUGAGUGGAUGAUGGUACCGGAAUAAGAAGCACCGGCUAACUACGUGCCAGCAGCCGCGGUAAUACGUAGGGUGCGAGCGUUAAUCGGAAUUACUGGGCGUAAAGCGUGCGCAGGCGGUUUUGUAAGACAGGCGUGAAAUCCCCGGGCUCAACCUGGGAACUGCGUUUGUGACUGCAAGGCUAGAGUAUGGCAGAGGGGGGUGGAAUUCCACGUGUAGCAGUGAAAUGCGUAGAGAUGUGGAGGAACACCAAUGGCGAAGGCAGCCCCCUGGGCCAAUACUGACGCUCAUGCACGAAAGCGUGGGGAGCAAACAGGAUUAGAUACCCUGGUAGUCCACGCCCUAAACGAUGUCAUCUAGGUGUUGGGUGGGUAAAACCAUUUGGUACCGUAGCUAACGCGUGAAGUUGACCGCCUGGGGAGUACGGCCGCAAGGUUAAAACUCAAAGGAAUUGACGGGGACCCGCACAAGCGGUGGAUGAUGUGGAUUAAUUCGAUGCAACGCGAAAAACCUUACCUACCCUUGACAUGCCAGGAACUUGCCAGAGAUGGCUUGGUGCCCGAAAGGGAGCCUGGACACAGGUGCUGCAUGGCUGUCGUCAGCUCGUGUCGUGGGAUGUUGGGUUAAGUCCCGCAACGAGCGCAACCCUUGUCGUUAAUUGCCAUCAUUUAGUUGGGCACUUUAACGAGACUGCCGGUGACAAACCGGAGGAAGGUGGGGAUGACGUCAAGUCCUCAUGGCCCUUAUGGGUAGGGCUUCACACGUCAUACAAUGGUCGGUACAAAGGGUUGCCAAGCCGCGAGGCGGAGCCAAUCCCAGAAAGCCGAUCGUAGUCCGGAUCGCAGGCUGCAACUCGCCUGCGUGAAGUCGGAAUCGCUAGUAAUCGUGGAUCAGCAUGUCACGGUGAAUACGUUCCCGGGUCUUGUACACACCGCCCGUCACACCAUGGGAGCGGGUUCCGCCAGAAGUAGGUAGCCUAACCGCAAGGAGGGCGCUUACCACGGCGGGGUUCGUGACUGGGGUGAAGUCGAAACAAGGUA
RNAcentral lists this ribosomal RNA (1272 nucleotides) under metagenome. RNAcentral's name for it is "bacterial SSU rRNA". It matches the Rfam family "Bacterial small subunit ribosomal RNA", at positions 233 to 1498 of the family's 1533-position model. The record is from RNAcentral.